RNAcentral lists this ribosomal RNA (486 nucleotides) under Dialister invisus. RNAcentral's name for it is "bacterial SSU rRNA". It matches the Rfam family "Bacterial small subunit ribosomal RNA", at positions 28 to 480 of the family's 1533-position model. Lineage: Bacteria; Bacillati; Bacillota; Negativicutes; Veillonellales; Veillonellaceae. The record is from RNAcentral.
GACGAACGCUGGCGGCGUGCUUAACACAUGCAAGUCGAACGAAAAGAGGGAAAGAGCUUGCUCUUUCCGGAAUUGAGUGGCAAACGGGUGAGUAACACGUAAACAACCUGCCUUCAGGAUGGGGACAACAGACGGAAACGACUGCUAAUACCGAAUAAGUUCCAAGAGCCGCAUGGCCCAUGGAAGAAAAGGUGGCCUCUACCUGUAAGCUAUCGCCUGAAGAGGGGUUUGCGUCUGAUUAGCUGGUUGGAGGGGUAACGGCCCACCAAGGCGACGAUCAGUAGCCGGUCUGAGAGGAUGAACGGCCACACUGGAACUGAGACACGGUCCAGACUCCUACGGGAGGCAGCAGUGGGGAAUCUUCCGCAAUGGGCGAAAGCCUGACGGAGCAACGCCGCGUGAGUGAUGACGGCCUUCGGGUUGUAAAACUCUGUGAUCCGGGACGAAAAGGCAGAGUGCGAAGAACAAACUGCAUUGACGGUACCG